UACAGAGGUCCCAAGCGUUGUUCGGAUUCACUGGGCGUAAAGGGUGCGUAGGCGGUCGAGUAAGUCUGGCGUGAAAUCUCCAAGCCUAACUUGGAAACUGCGUUGGAUACUAUCCGGCUCGAGGAAUGGAGGGGAGACUGGAAUACUUGGUGUAGCAGUGAAAUGCGUAGAUAUCAAGUGGAACACCAGUGGCGAAGGCGAGUCUCUGGACAUUUCCUGACGCUGAGGCACGAAAGCCAGGGGAGCAAACGGG
This 253-nucleotide ribosomal RNA is filed under the name uncultured bacterium. Its description in RNAcentral is "partial 16S ribosomal RNA". It matches the Rfam family "Bacterial small subunit ribosomal RNA", at positions 524 to 776 of the family's 1533-position model. The record is from RNAcentral.